GACGUAGGGGGCCAGCGUUGUUCGGAAUUACUGGGUGUAAAGGGUUCGUAGGCGGUGUGGCAAGUCGGGAGUGAAAUCUCUGGGCUCAACUCAGAGACUGCUUCCGAAACUGCUGUGCUGGAGUGUGGGAGAGGCGCGUGGAAUUGCAGGUGUAGCGGUGAAAUGCGUAGAUAUCUGGAGGAACACCGGUGGCGAAGGCGGCAUCCUGGACCGACACUGACGCUGAUGAGCGAAAGCCAGGGGAGCAAACGGG
RNAcentral lists this ribosomal RNA (253 nucleotides) under uncultured bacterium. RNAcentral's name for it is "partial 16S ribosomal RNA". It matches the Rfam family "Bacterial small subunit ribosomal RNA", at positions 524 to 776 of the family's 1533-position model. The record is from RNAcentral.